RNAcentral lists this unclassified non-coding RNA (584 nucleotides) under Hevea brasiliensis (rubber tree). The record is from RNAcentral. Lineage: Eukaryota; Viridiplantae; Streptophyta; Magnoliopsida; Malpighiales; Euphorbiaceae.
AGAGCUGCCACCAUUCCUGUAGAAACAUGACUGAAAAUUAAAAACACAGAUCAAAGAUUUGAAACUAACCAUUGUUCAACAUUCUGCUAACCUAAUGCAAUUUUUCCUUUAAGCUAUCGCGGAACUAACAGCAACAAAACUACAGGCACAUUAUAAUAUCACAUAGCAUAAAAUUAAUCGCUUAAUCAUGAUGCAUUCAGCAGCUUCUAUCUAGUGCCAAAACUAUCCAUUAUUCGUCUCAUUCUAUAACUCAACUAAAUAGAAAUAAAGGAUUUGUUCAAACAGAAGCCACUGUUAACAAUUACAUCUACAAUAAAUUAAAUCAAUCACAUAACAGACAUAAUAUCACUUUCUAGCUUGAUAAGUUCUUCAUUUCCCAUAUGCACCCUAUUAACAUUGCAUUAGGUCUAACACACUUUCCCAUAUGCAGCUCCAUUGAUAAUGCAUGCUGCGUUUCUCAUGGAAUCCUAUAAAAUCUUAAAGCAGUUUAUGAGUCAGAGUGGAAUCAACUCAAAAAUCAUAGCAACCUUGUCCGGAUUCAACCUAAAUUUCAGUCUCUCAUCCAGUGAAGAGCUCAACCAUUG